UUCAGCCUUUGUCGUGCAACGAUAGACUCAAAAGCGGCGGGAUUCGGGAUAACGAAAAGCGAGGAUUAACGCCAUGCACCAGUUACCGCAUGUUAACAACCAAGAAUUACUAUCUAUAUCCGCUCCAACAGUACGCAAGGGAAGCUUCGAAGAAUUUAAAACCGUGUGAAAUUCGCUAAGAGAAGCUGACCAGAGUUUCGUGUUUUGGUAAAUCAAAAUGUGCGAAAUUGAAC
RNAcentral lists this unclassified non-coding RNA (233 nucleotides) under Bombus terrestris (buff-tailed bumblebee). RNAcentral describes it as "misc RNA ENSBTSG00005021394.1". Lineage: Eukaryota; Metazoa; Arthropoda; Insecta; Hymenoptera; Apidae. The record is from RNAcentral.